Non-coding RNA from Crenichthys baileyi (White River springfish), 74 nucleotides. The record is from the annotation of a GenBank genome assembly. NCBI's taxonomy places the organism in Eukaryota, Metazoa, Chordata, Actinopteri, Cyprinodontiformes, Goodeidae.
GCCCCGGCUAGCUCAUCCGGUAGAGCAUGAGACUCUUAAUCUCGGGGUCGGGGUUCAAAACCCCACGUUGGGCG